GCCGAGGUAGCUCAGUUGGUAGAGCACUGCGCUGAAAACGCAGGUGUCCCCAGUUCGAUUCUGGGCCUCAGCACCA
This 76-nucleotide transfer RNA is filed under the name Dehalococcoidia bacterium. RNAcentral describes it as "tRNA-Phe". It matches the Rfam family "tRNA". From Rfam's summary of the family: Transfer RNA (tRNA) molecules are approximately 80 nucleotides in length. The record is from RNAcentral. Lineage: Bacteria; Bacillati; Chloroflexota; Dehalococcoidia.